This 21-nucleotide ribosomal RNA is filed under the name Australozyma picinguabensis. RNAcentral's name for it is "[Candida] picinguabensis 26S ribosomal RNA". The record is from RNAcentral. Lineage: Eukaryota; Fungi; Ascomycota; Pichiomycetes; Serinales; Metschnikowiaceae.
UACCCGCUGAACUUAAGCAAU